This is a non-coding RNA of Parasteatoda tepidariorum (common house spider), 439 nucleotides long. The record is from RefSeq and is a predicted model, not a curated record. NCBI's taxonomy places the organism in Eukaryota, Metazoa, Arthropoda, Arachnida, Araneae, Theridiidae.
UUGUCUUCUAGAUGUGCCAAAGCUAUCUCGAUCUUCAUAUCUUAUUGAGAUGUUUUUUGCUGCCACUGCCUGGACUCUUUUAUUGUUGCACGUUUUAAACCAACCACUAAAUUCUAAAAAAUCAAAAUGUAAAGCAAUUACAAUAGGACUUGGCUUGUGUUUCGGACUGUUAGCUGCUGCACUAGCGGAUUUCCAAAAACUGAUUAUGUGGAACAGAAGCAUUUUAUUAAUUCUCAGUGUGCCAAAUCUGAUUAUCGGAGUUACAGUUGGACUUUUUCCUAACAGAUUCCUAGAUUGCUUAGACAUGUGAAGCUGAUAAAAAAUAAUUAUUAUAUGCACAACAUUGUGAAAUAUGCAUUCGAAAAAAAAAAAUCAAAGACUGUGAUAUUGUUGGGAUCAAUUCAAUAAGAUCAAAAUAAAAGUUUAGUGUUAGCUGUUU